This 433-nucleotide ribosomal RNA is filed under the name uncultured bacterium. RNAcentral describes it as "partial 16S ribosomal RNA". It matches the Rfam family "Bacterial small subunit ribosomal RNA", at positions 29 to 507 of the family's 1533-position model. The record is from RNAcentral.
AACGAACGCUGGCGGCAUGCCUAACACAUGCAAGUCGAACGAGACCUUCGGGUCUAGUGGCGCACGGGUGCGUAACGCGUGGGAACCUGCCCUUAGGUUCGGAAUAACUCCCCGAAAGGGGUGCUAAUACCGGAUAAUGUCUUCGGACCAAAGAUUUAUCGCCUUUGGAUGGGCCCGCGUUGGAUUAGCUAGUUGGUAGGGUAAAAGCCUACCAAGGCGACGAUCCAUAGCUGGCCUGAGAGGAUGAUCAGCCACACUGGGACUGAGACACGGCCCAGACUCCUACGGGAGGCAGCAGUGGGGAAUAUUGGACAAUGGGCGAAAGGCUGAUCCAGCAAUGCCGCGUGAGUGAUGAAGGCCUUAGGGUUGUAAAGCUCUUUUACCCGGGAUGAUAAUGACAGUACCGGGAGAAUAAGCUCCGGCUAACUCCGUG